This is a long non-coding RNA of Paramacrobiotus metropolitanus, 217 nucleotides long. RefSeq lists it as uncharacterized. The transcript has 3 exons. The record is from RefSeq and is a predicted model, not a curated record. NCBI's taxonomy places the organism in Eukaryota, Metazoa, Tardigrada, Eutardigrada, Parachela, Macrobiotidae.
GCGUUUUAUUAGAUUUGGAGACACUGUGAAUACUGCCAGUAGAAUGGAAUCCACCGGAACCGCUGGCAAAAUUCACGUGAGUGCGACUACGUAUGCCGAUGCGUUAAAAAACCCUGCACUGAAAUUUGAGGACCGUGGGGAAAUCGCUGUUAAGGGAAAGGGAACCAUUAAUACAUACUGGUUGGAAACAGUCGUCGGAAAGCGCGACAGCGUACGG